CUUCUCACUACUACAUAAUACUACUUGUUACUUAAUUUAGAGUCUCUCUUACCCUUAACAUAUCCAAGCCCUACUCAUUUUUCCUUUAGAUUUUUCUGUGUCCCUCUCUUUGUGUGUGUGUGUGUCUAUAUAUCACUCUCUUCUGGUCUGGUACAAGAGUGCUCCUACAUGCAUGAAUAACAACAAUGGAAGUGGGGAUUCUCUCCCAGGAACAUCUCCAACAGUUAAAUGAAUAAUCUUUUACUUUCUCCUUUUAAGAAAGGAGUAGGCGAAGAACUUGGUUUUUGUCUUGCUUCUUCUUCUUCCUUCUUCUUAUAUAUUCCCUUUUCUUCUCUUAAACUUCUUAUCCUCCUUUUUUUUUAUGUUUAAUUUAUUUUUCGUUAAUAAAGUAGAUAUAGCAUAUUGUACUGCACGUAGAACUGGAUGGCCUUUUUCACUCACUUCAGUAGUAGCUAGAUGAGCAGACCAUUGCACUUAAUUUAUUUUUUGAACUUCUUUCACGAGUCAAUAAGAAAUAAUUAAUAUACUAUUAUUAUUAUUAUUAUUAUUAUUAUUAUUUACCAACAUAUUUACCCAUAGUUUUUUCUUUUAGGAAAAGAAAAAAGAGACAAAACAUUUAGCUAGCUUUCAAUGAUGAAAUGCUAAUAUAUCUUCUGUUAAUGUUGACUAGAACUGUUUUAAAAAUCGGAUUGCAUCAGCCAAUUUGACAGGAAAUAAGUCUAGUAACUAUUUUAUUAACUUUAAAAAAUCGGUUCACCUCAAACUAUGAGAAUCCGUCAAACCAAUCUAAAAUCGGUGAAAGACGGGAACAAAAAUACAGUACAAAAAACAGGUUUAAAUCAGUAAUUUUUUUCUUCAUUUUUUCAUUUUUAAACUUUUAUUUUUUUUUAUUUUAAAAAUAAAUAAAAAAACAUUUAAAGAUC
This 923-nucleotide long non-coding RNA is filed under the name Glycine max (soybean). Its description in RNAcentral is "long non-coding RNA (GMAX_LNC004290)". The record is from RNAcentral. Lineage: Eukaryota; Viridiplantae; Streptophyta; Magnoliopsida; Fabales; Fabaceae.